This 539-nucleotide long non-coding RNA is filed under the name Homo sapiens (human). RNAcentral describes it as "non-protein coding lnc-TFAP2A-7:1". The record is from RNAcentral. Lineage: Eukaryota; Metazoa; Chordata; Mammalia; Primates; Hominidae.
CUUAAAAAAAAAAAAAAAAAAGAGCAGCAUGGAAUCUGGCAGAUACCAGGGGAAGACAUAGGAAGUAGAACCCACAGGGUAAUAAUAAUUAAACAAGACAACCCUUAGGUUUCUAAUUCCCUAACCUCCUACAUUCAGCCCUGCCUCAGGUCAGGAAAGAGUUGGCAGGGCUUGCUCUUGCCCCAAGGAGGGAAACAGGCCCUGGCUUAGUUAUUUUUAGAAGCCCCAGAUGAUCGUAAUGUGCAUCCAGGGUUGAACCAGCAAUCCAAAGAAACCAGGACUGUGAUCUUCAUACAGGUUCCAGUUACUUUUUCCUUUGAACUGCAAAUAUGAAUUCUUAUUUUGAAUUGAACUAGCAGGACUAAAUUGGUUCACUAUAAACAACUUGAGAUUAUUCAAAAAUCAUUUGGAACUUGGACCAAAGGAGAGAUGGAAUUGAUUUAGCAACAAUUGAGACCUUAUUGAAAGUCAACCUAAAAAGAACAUCAGGCUUAGGAGACCUGGUUUAUAAUUGGUGCAUUUGCUUACUAGCUGUGGGA